GGAAAGCAAUGCUCUCUACAGCGUGUCUGUAUCGCUGCAAGAGCAUGAACAGCAGCCAUCGUCUUGCUUCGUCCAAUUGGUCUCUGCAAAAACAUCCAGCGAUAAAUUUUAAAUUGUGCCAAA
Molecule: non-coding RNA, 123 nt
Organism: Linepithema humile (Argentine ant)
Lineage: Eukaryota; Metazoa; Arthropoda; Insecta; Hymenoptera; Formicidae
Source: RefSeq, a predicted model, not a curated record